GAUGAACGCUGGCGGCGUGCCUAAUACAUGCAAGUCGAGCGAACAGACGAGGAGCUUGCUCCUCUGACGUUAGCGGCGGACGGGUGAGUAACACGUGGAUAACCUACCUAUAAGACUGGGAUAACUUCGGGAAACCGGAGCUAAUACCGGAUAAUAUAUUGAACCGCAUGGAGCAAUAGUGAAAGACGGUUUUGCUGUCACUUAUAGAUGGAUCCGCGCCGCAUUAGCUAGUUGGUAAGGUAACGGCUUACCAAGGCAACGAUGCGUAGCCGACCUGAGAGGGUGAUCGGCCAAACUGGAACUGAGACACGGUCCAGACUCCUACGGGAGGCAGCAGUAGGGAAUCUUCCGCAAUGGGCGAAAGCCUGACGGCGCAACGCCGCGUGAGUGAUGAAGGUCUUCGGAUCGUAAAACUCUGUUAUUAGGGAAGAAAAAAUGUGUAAGUAACUAUGCACGUCUUGACGGUACCUAAUCAGAAAGCCACGGCUAACUACGUG
RNAcentral lists this ribosomal RNA (497 nucleotides) under uncultured bacterium. RNAcentral describes it as "partial 16S ribosomal RNA". It matches the Rfam family "Bacterial small subunit ribosomal RNA", at positions 28 to 507 of the family's 1533-position model. The record is from RNAcentral.